Limanda limanda (common dab) is the source of this 423-nucleotide non-coding RNA. The record is from the annotation of a RefSeq genome assembly. NCBI's taxonomy places the organism in Eukaryota, Metazoa, Chordata, Actinopteri, Pleuronectiformes, Pleuronectidae.
CUCUGCAGGACUCAGACCCGUCAGUCCACCACAACCACCAUGACUCUCAUCACCCUCCUCAUCUGGACGCUGGCCUGCUGCAGCUUCACAGGAUGCAGCGGCCAAGUGACUGUGACUCAGCCUCCAGUCGUGACAUUUACUCCAGGAUCCACUGUCACACUGAACUGUAACACCAACCCAAGUGUUUAUAGGAAUAGUAAUGGUGACUAUAUGUUCUGGUACCAGCAGAAACCUGGACAGGCUCCCAAGCUUCUUAUAAAGUUUGCAUCAACUCUUAAUUCAGGAACUCCCUCUCGAUUCAGUGGCAGUGGCUCUGGUUCUAGCUUCACCUUAACCAUCAGCGGAGUUCAGAGUCAAGAUGCAGCAGUUUACUACUGUCAGAGCUAUCAUCAAGUAAGAGGAGCACCUGUGUUGACACAGUGA